CACUCCUGCGGGAGGCAGCAGUGGGGAAUAUUGGACAAUGGGCGCAAGCCUGAUCCAGCCAUGCCGCGUGAGUGAUGAAGGCCCUCGGGUUGUAAAGCUCUUUCACCGGUGAAGAUAAUGACGGUAACCGGAGAAGAAGCCCCGGCUAACUUCGUGCCAGCAGCCGCGGUAAUACGAAGGGGGCUAGCGUUGUUCGGAUUUACUGGGGGUAAAGCGCACGUAGGCGGACUAUUAAGUCAGGGGUGAAAUCCCGGGGCUCAACCCCGGAACUGCCUUUGAUACUGGUAGUCUUGAGUUCGAGAGAGGUGAGUGGAAUUCCGAGUGUAGAGGUGAAAUUCGUAGAUAUUCGGAGGAACACCAGUGGCGAAGGCGGCUCACUGGCUCGAUACUGACGCUGAGGUGCGAAAGCGUGGGGAGCAAACAGGAUUAGAAACCCCUGUAGUCCCAUG
Molecule: ribosomal RNA, 449 nt
Filed under: uncultured organism
Description: partial 16S ribosomal RNA
Rfam family: Bacterial small subunit ribosomal RNA
Source: RNAcentral